This 425-nucleotide ribosomal RNA is filed under the name uncultured bacterium. Its description in RNAcentral is "partial 16S ribosomal RNA". It matches the Rfam family "Bacterial small subunit ribosomal RNA", at positions 354 to 796 of the family's 1533-position model. The record is from RNAcentral.
GUGGGGAAUCUUGCGCAAUGGGCGAAAGCCUGACGCAGCCAUGCCGCGUGAAUGAUGAAGGUCUUAGGAUUGUAAAAUUCUUUCACCGGGGACGAUAAUGACGGUACCCGGAGAAGAAGCCCCGGCUAACUUCGUGCCAGCAGCCGCGGUAAUACGAAGGGGGCUAGCGUUGCUCGGAAUUACUGGGCGUAAAGGGCGCGUAGGCGGACAGUUUAGUCAGUGGUGAAAGCCCAGGGCUCAACCUUGGAAUUGCCUUUGAUACUGGCUGUCUUGAGUUUGGGAGAGGUGAGAGGAACUCCGAGUGUAGAGGUGAAAUUCGUAGAUAUUCGGAAGAACACCAGUGGCGAAGGCGACUCACUGGCCCAAUACUGACGCUGAGGCGCGAAAGCGUGGGGAGCAAACAGGAUUAGAUACCCCUGUAGUCC